Molecule: long non-coding RNA, 673 nt
Filed under: Drosophila guanche
Lineage: Eukaryota; Metazoa; Arthropoda; Insecta; Diptera; Drosophilidae
Source: RNAcentral
UUGUGUGUGUGUGUGUGUGUGUGUGUGUGGCAUGCAUCGCGAUGAGUUUUAUGGUAGUCAACAUGCAAUUGUGCGAUGCUCUUCAGUGUUUCCCAACUAACGGAGAAAACGAACCAAGAACGAGAACGAGAACGAAAACGAGAACGAGAAACAGGCGGAUUCUGAGAAGUAGUUGCCAGCGGAGAGGGAACCAUGGAUGGAACCUCCCAUCGCAGUAUCGAGGAGCAACGGGAUGGGAUGGCGUAAAGCGGAGCAGAGCCAAUGGUAUAGGCUCUCGCUCUGUGUUUGACAAAAGUUUUGCCUGCCAAGUUCUAAUGAGCGAAUUCUUUCGGGCAACAAAAGUCUAGCGAAUCCGGAACGAGGUACACAGUCGGUGGCGCGUCGCGUCCUUGCUGAGCCAAGUUGGAGGCGCAUUCCAUGGCCGGUCGUCGGCAGCUUCGCCUCUCUCUCUCUCUCUCUGCCUCUCGCUCUCUGGCACCAACUUUUAUCUACGCUUUCUCUUCGCUGCUCUACGCUGAGAAUGCGGCAAGUGCCUAGGCCCUCGGGUAGCGUUUCGCUUGAGAAGUUUUUGUUCCUACAGAAAUUCCGUUUCGACUUGGGGAAUAAUUGUUUGAAAAUAUGCAUAAAAAGAUCUUCCAUUGAGGGAUCCAACUAGUUGUCCAUGGGCCUUGAU